AAAAAACAUCCAAAAAUAUAUUAUAAAGUAAUUCAAAGGGGUUAUUAAGGAAAACUAAGGCAAAUUUAUAAAAAAAGGAGGUCUAAUACCAAAAGCUUACUAACAAUUAACUAUUAAGUAAGCGCUCCUAAGGUAAACCUUAUUAAUCAAUUACUUCCUGAAGUAAAACAUUUUAUUAGGGAAAGGAAAGGAAAUCAACCGAGACUCCGAAAGUAAUGGUGAGUGAAAUCGGAUUAGCCUAAUUAAUUAAUAAAUUGAAAAACUUAAGUAUUUAGCAACGAAGAACUCUCUCUCCUUCUCUCUCUCCUUCUUCAUAAGUAGUUUCCUUUAUCUUUUUAGAAUAUAGAACUCUUUAUUUUCAAUUUAGAAAAAAAAGACUUACAAAAAGACUUUCUUAGAAGUACUAAGUACGAACUAGAAGAAGGGCUUGUUGCAAAAAUAUAUUAGUUAGUAAUACUUUACUUUAAAGUGGUGUAGACUUCCCUAUUCCAAAAAGAAGUGUUACUCUAAAGAAGGUGAAAAACUAUAAGACCUGUAGGUUUAUUAAUUAAUAUUAGCCCUUUUUAGAAGAGAAAAUCCUCUUAGGGAUUAAUAACCCCUUGUUUAGAUUAAAAUCCAGGGUUUAAUAACAGGGACUUCAUAAAAGGGGAAUCAGAUAAAUACUCCUCCUACGGACUCCUACUUUACUUAACUGAAUGAAGGAGUUCUAUAUUCUAAAAAGACUGCCUUCUUUUUAGAAUUAUAGUCCAAAUCCCCUUUUUUCUUUCUAGAAUAUAGAAUAAAGAAUAAAGGGGCUCUUUUCUUGGAGGGGGUAAAUUUAUUUAAAUAAAGUACGAUGAGAGAAAACUUGUCGGAAUAUAGGGGUACCAUCCUCUAAGGCUAAGUAUUAUAAAUUUAGCGAUAGUGAAUAAGUACUGUAAAGGAAAAGUUUGAAAAGCGAGUGGUAUACAAAAAUGAAUUUUUAAAAUAUCCCUUUUGGUUUACAGAAGAAAAGAAUCCCCUUAAAGGUAAUUAGGGCAAGGUAUUCUUAAUUCUUCUUUUCAUUUAAUCCGAAGAACAUUUAAGAAUGAAUUGGUGAAAUAGAUCUUGAAUUAGUAACUCUAUAAGCAGUCGAAAUUCUACAAGAAGAAUGACGGCGUACCUUUUGCAUAAUGGGUCAGCAAGUUAAUAGGAGUAGCAAGGUUUUAAGCCUUAGCGAAAGCGACUGGACUAUAAUUUAAAAAUACUCCUAGUCUAGAAAAAAUUUGUGGACAAAAAAAUAAGUACACAUAGUGAUGGGUCAGUUACUUCUAUUAGACCCGAAGCCAGGUGAUCUUACCAAGACCAGAUUAUAAUAGAUCGAACGGGUGAAUGUUGCAUAAUUCUCCGAUGAGUUUUGGUAAGCGGUGAAAUGCCAAUCUGACCUGGUGCUAGCUGGUUUUCUACCGAAACAUAUUUAAGUAUGACGUCUACACAAAAUUUAUGGAGGUACAGCAAGGCAAUUCCCAACAAGUUUAAGGGUUGUGUACGAAGUGCUCUCCUUAAGGAGCCAUUGACUCAUAAAGUUUUGAACACAUCAGCCUUUUAGGCGUUUAGGUUGCGGGGACCUCGAAAAUCUUACCUUUGGAAGCGAAUCUCGGAAUUACAUAAAUUGAUGGUAGAUAUUCAGACUACUCAUGCUAAGUUGGGUAGUCAAGACGGAAACAGCCGAGAACACUGAUCAAGGUCCCAAAUGAUUGUUAAGUGAAAUUAAGGACGUAGCAAUAUCGUAUACAGCUGUGAAGUGAGCCUGGCAGUCGCUACUUUUAAUGAUCGUAUGUAACAACGCAUCAGCAGUUUAGAUAGUAGCGCCGAAAAUUUAACGGGUCUUAAACAAUCAACCGAUAUCGUGUUGGUUUAUAUUAUACUAAACCUAGGUAGUAGAACAUUCAGUCAAACCCAUUAUAAAAUAGUGUUUCAUUAUUUUUUAGGUUACUGAAGAGAGAAUGCUGACAUGAGUAACGUAAAAAGAAGUUAUAAUACUUCUCGCCGAAUACGAAAGGGUUGCAAAUAGGAAAGGUUAAUCCGUUUUGUUUGAAUGCGGCCUCUAAGGACCAAAACCAAAGUUUUGGCUGAUGAGUAUAUAAUAGAAAGUCCAUUUUUUUAGUGGACCAGGAAAUGAAUAUUAUAAGUAAUAACAUUUUAAUGUAUAACUGCCCACCUUACUGCCCCCUUAUUCCCCCCUUAUUAUUAUUAAUACCUUCAUGGUAUUCUUAUCUCCGGAGGAAUCCGGAGGAAUCCGGAGGAAUCCGGAGGAAUCCGGAGGAAUCCGGAGGAAGGGAUUUUUUGUAGUCCUGGACCACAAAAAAGGGUUGGAGGAUUAUUAAGGCAUUCGGAUUAUGCUAACAAUAAUCUUUCCAAGAAAGCCCAGCAUCUUAAUUAAAUAUAACUUAUUAAAUAUACUAAAAAGAAAUACAAUCGAAAAAAAAAUGAAUAAAAUUAAAAAAGAACAAUUAAUAGGAAUAAGUCCUAAUAGCAAAUUAUUUAAAGAAUACAAAGAAUCUCUUAAAGCACUAUCUAAUAUACAAUGGGAUUCCUCCAUUGGCUUAAUGUUAGCCCUUGGCCCGACCCGGCCAAGGGGAGGGCGAGAUGCUAGUUUACAAACUCAAAAUAAUGGUAAAACAUAUAGAUUAAAAUUUGAGUGGAGCGAUAGGAAUAAAGCUUAUGUGAAUCAUGUUUAUGAUUUAUUUAAUGAAUGGGUAAUUUCACCUCCUCACCCCUGCCCUUGCCCUCAUAGCCAAGGGCGGGGCAAGGGUAAAAAAGUCAGAACAAGUCCUAAGGGAAACCUAGUCUGUAAUUUAGGGUUUCAAACUAUUAGUCAUCAAGCUUUUAAUCCUUUAGCCCCUCGGCCCGCACCCGGUCCGGGGGCAAGGGCUAAAUUAUUUAUUUAUGAAAAUAAAAAAAGCAUUAAAGAGUCAUUAAUUAAAAAUCAUUUAACUGAGAGAGGAUUAGCUUAUUGGUUUAUGGACGACGGUGGGAAAUUGGACUCGAUGUCGACUCAUCCUAUCCUCCGGGGGAAGAAGCUUGGAAGGGUUCGGCUGUUCGCCGAUUAAAAGGGUACGUGAGUUGGGUUUAAUACGACGUGAGUCAGUAUGGUCCCUAUCUUCUGGAGGGAGAAUAAGUAAAAAGGGGCAGACCUUCUAGUACGAAAGGAUCAAUAGGAUGUGUUUCUCUAGUGUACCAAUUGUUGGUACUAUUUUGUUUAAGACCCCUAUCUCUCCUUCUCUUUUGGAAUCAAGGAAGAUGAAAGAUAAGUGGGUAAAAUCCUUUUGAACUUUAAAGCUAAAAAGUUCUUUAUCUUAAAUACCUUAAAGGUAUAGAUCAAAGGUCACAAAGUGGGAACGCAUAGUUGGGUAGCCACAAACAUAAUAGAUAAGUGCUGAAUGUCUAUUAAGCAAGAAUCUAACCCCUAGAUACUUUAAAUAUGAUUAUUUAUCUUAAUUAAAAAGAUUUUUUUGUACCUAGUACGUAGUAUGUAGUACAUAGUUACUCCUUUUUUAUCGAAAGGUAAGGCACCACCUAGCCUUUUUGGAACAGAAAGAGUCCCCUGUAGCAUCCCUGGAUUCCAAAGGGGUUAUACGAGGGGAGAGGAGUAUUAUUGAGUAUAAUUUAGAUUAAAGAUCAUUAAUUAAGAAAUAGAACAUUUCUAGAUAGGCUGCAAAUAUACCUAUUGUAAAAUAGUUAGUUUAGCAGUACUAAUUUAUAAAAAAAACUAGAUGCCAG
This 3741-nucleotide ribosomal RNA is filed under the name Termitomyces sp. T132. Its description in RNAcentral is "23S ribosomal RNA". It matches the Rfam family "Bacterial large subunit ribosomal RNA". The record is from RNAcentral. Lineage: Eukaryota; Fungi; Basidiomycota; Agaricomycetes; Agaricales; Lyophyllaceae.